GGGUUGUGAGGUUAAGCGACUAAGCGUACACGGUGGAUGCCCUGGCAGUCAGAGGCGAUGAAGGACGUGCUAAUCUGCGAAAAGCGUCGGUAAGGUGAUAUGAACCGUUAUAGCCGGCGAUGUCCGAAUGGGGAAACCCAGUGUGAUUCGUCACACUAUCGUUAACUGAAUACAUAGGUUAACGAGGCGAACCGGGGGAACUGAAACAUCUAAGUACCCCGAGGAAAAGAAAUCAACCGAGAUUCCCCCAGUAGCGGCGAGCGAACGGGGAGCAGCCCAGAGUCUGAAUCAGCUUGU
This 297-nucleotide ribosomal RNA is filed under the name Klebsiella quasipneumoniae subsp. similipneumoniae. RNAcentral describes it as "partial 23S ribosomal RNA". It matches the Rfam family "Bacterial large subunit ribosomal RNA", at positions 1 to 289 of the family's 2925-position model. The record is from RNAcentral. Lineage: Bacteria; Pseudomonadati; Pseudomonadota; Gammaproteobacteria; Enterobacterales; Enterobacteriaceae.